ACGGGAGGCAGCAGCUAAGAAUAUUCCGCAAUGGAGGAAACUCUGACGGAGCGACGCCGCGUGGGCGAUGAAGGCCGGAAGGUUGUAAAGCCCUUUUAUGACAGAGGAAUAAGGAGGAGAGGGAAUGCUUCUCUGGUGACUGUAGGUCAUGAAUAAGCACCGGCUAAUUACGUGCCAGCAGCCGCGGUAACACGUAAGGUGCAAGCGUUGUUCGGAAUUAUUGGGCGUAAAGGGCAUGUAGGCGGUUGUGCAAGCCUUGUGUGAAAUCCCGCAGCUUAACUGCGGAACUGCACGGGGAACUGCAUAACUUGAAUCACUGAGGGGGAGCCGGAAUUCCAGGUGUAGGGGUGAAAUCUGUAGAUAUCUGGAAGAACACCAAUGGCGAAGGCAGGCUUCUAGCAGAUGAUUGACGCUGAGGUGCGAAGGUGCGGGGAGCAAACAGGAUUAGAUACCCUGGUA
Molecule: ribosomal RNA, 459 nt
Filed under: uncultured Treponema sp.
Lineage: Bacteria; Pseudomonadati; Spirochaetota; Spirochaetia; Treponematales; Treponemataceae
Description: bacterial SSU rRNA
Rfam family: Bacterial small subunit ribosomal RNA
Source: RNAcentral